This 205-nucleotide unclassified non-coding RNA is filed under the name uncultured Tomentella. RNAcentral describes it as "sequence contains ITS1". Lineage: Eukaryota; Fungi; Basidiomycota; Agaricomycetes; Thelephorales; Thelephoraceae. The record is from RNAcentral.
CCGAGUUGUCGACAUGAGUUGUUGCUGGUCCUCAAACGGGGGCAUGUGCACGCUCUGUUCACACAUCCACUCACACCUGUGCACCCUGUGUAGUUCUAUGGUCUGGGGGACAACACUGUCUUCCUCCCGUAGUCCUGCGUUUUUACACCUACGCUGUAGUAGAAAAGUCUUAUGGAAUGUGUGCCGCGUUUAACGCAAUGUAAUA